GGCUCAGGUUAUGAACGCUGGCGGGAUGCUUUACACAUGCAAGUCCAUGAACGGCAGCACGGACUUCGGUCUGGUGGCAGGUAAUGACGGGUGAGUAAUGUAUCGGAACGUGCCUGGCGGGGAUAACCUGCGCGAAGGCGUAGCUAAUACCACCAUACGCCCUUCGGGGAAAGCGGGGACAGGCCGCUCGCACUGUGGAAACGGCCGAUAUCGGAUUAGCUGGUUAAUUGGGGUAUGCGGCUCGCAAAGGCGGCGAUCCGUAGCUGGUUUGAGAGGACGACCAGCCACACCACCGGACUGAGACACACCCAGACUCCUACGGGGAGGCAGCAAUGGGAAUUUUCGGACAAUGGAAACCCUGAUCCAGCCAUCAUGAUGACCGAUGAAGGCCUUCGGGUUGUAAAGCACUUUUGCCGGCAGGAAAGAAACGGCACGGGAUAAUACCCCGUGCAACUGACCAAUACCUGCAGAAUAAACACCUAUUAACUACGUCUGUAUGCGGUAAUACGUAAGUGCGACGUUGAAAUGAUUACUGAGGCGCUACUGCGCCAUGCGCAGGCGGUUCGAAGAAAGAUGUAUUGAAAUCAGAGCUUAACUUUGGAACUGUUACCCCAACUACGGCUCGUCAGAAAGGGAGGUGGAAUUCCGCGUGUAGCAGUGAAAUGCGUAGAUGUGGAGGAACACCGAUAGCGAAAAACAGCCUCCUGGGAUAACGCGACGCUCAUGCACGAAAGCGUGGGGAGCGAAACAGGAUUAAGAUGCCCUGGUAGUCCGCCCUAAACGAUGUCAACUAGCUGUUGGGGCCUUCGGGCCUUGGUAGCGCAGACUAACGCGUGAAGUUGACCGCCUGGGGAAGUACGGUCGCAAGAUUAAAACUCAAAGGAAUUGACGGGGACCCGCACAAGCUGGAUGAUCAGAUUCAAUUCAUUCACAACGCGAAAAACCUUACCUACCCUUGACAUGUCUGGAAUCCCGAAGAGAUUGGGAGUGCUCGCAAGAGAAGCCGGAACACAGGUGCUGCAUAGCUGUCGUCGCUCGUAUCGUGAGAUGUUGAUUAAGUCCACCUGGCGAAGCACAACCCUUGUCAUUAGUUACGAAAGGGCACUCUAUGAGACUGCCGGUAAUAUAAGCCAGCGAGAGGAAAGUGAGGAUGACAUCAAGUCCUCAUGGCCCAUAUAUGGUGGGAAACUACCACGUCAUACAAUGGUCGGGACAGAGGUCGCCAACCCGCAGGGGAACCAAUCCCAGAAACCCGAUCGUAGUCCGGAUCAUGAUCUGCAACUCGACUGCGUGAAGUCGAAUCGCUAGUAAUCGCGGACGGAUCAGCAUGUCGCGGUGAAUACGUUCCCGGGUCUUGUACACCGUCACACCAUGAGGUGGGUUUAAGUAUUAGCCUAACCGUAAGGAGGGCGAUUACCACGGUAGGAUUCUUGGCAAACGUUGAAGUCGUAACCAAGGUAAG
RNAcentral lists this ribosomal RNA (1462 nucleotides) under uncultured Bordetella sp. RNAcentral describes it as "partial 16S-23S ribosomal RNA intergenic spacer". It matches the Rfam family "Bacterial small subunit ribosomal RNA". Lineage: Bacteria; Pseudomonadati; Pseudomonadota; Betaproteobacteria; Burkholderiales; Alcaligenaceae. The record is from RNAcentral.